AUGGUAGAAGAGAAAAGUAAGAGAACAACCAUUAUCCUAACGUUUAGCAUUUGCUUUAAGAAAUGUGAUGGUCGUGGGGGGCAUGGAAUCAGCAAACCAUCAUGGCAUUAUUUUCCAGAUUUGAAAAGCUCCAAAGGAAGCUGUACCUGUAUGUUGCCAUUUAUUUCAAGUGUUUUCUCUUUUUGUGUAACACCUGUCAUGCCAAAGAAUUUCGCUUGUGUUUGGCAUGUGGAUGAAUCACUUCAGCCACCAAUAAAAUGUACAGCCCUUACAAGUAAAACAGAGCAACUAUCCCAGAAGACCUUGACAAUUUACAGCAGAGCUAAGAGGUGGAUUAUUCCCAAGAAGACAGAAAAAGAAAACUACUUUCUCCCUUCUGGAAGUAUCUGGAUUCAGAUCACAUACAGAGAAGAUGAUGCAAAAUCUGAGACUCUCCCUUCGUGGGGCACAGGAGCAUCUAAACAAAUCAAGAUCCAGGUCUGGAAGAAACCUGGUUGUUGGGUCAGGAGGAAUGAAGCAAGCACUGAGUGAAGACCUUGGCUCUGGAGUCAGAGCUUUCAAAGUCCUGCCAUGUGAUUUACCAGCCAUAUGACCUCAGGUGAUGAAUUAAUGUUUCUGGAGUCCUUAGCAGAGCGCCUGGUACAUAUUAAGAAUGUAACAGUGGGUAGCAAUAAUGAUCAAUGUUAUAUUCUCCACAAAAAUUAUCUUUAUCAUUGUCCUUCCUUAAUAUUGUUGUUAGACUGUGACUAAGGCAUCACCGGGGGUUUGUACACUGUGUGCAGGAAAAGUAACCAAGAAAGAUCAGCCCUAUGAGAUCAUCAAGAAAGACCUAAUGCUCCUCGUUGGACAGACAAGAAAACCCACACUCAGCAGGGUUAGGAGACCUGCUCCAAGUCACGUAGCUAGUAAGGGCAGAGGUGAGAGUCAAACCAGAGUUUCUGAUUCCAAAGCCAGUUCUUUUUCCACUACACUGCAUGGCCUCUGGGUAUUAGCAUUUCCAGGUCCCACAUACUUCCAAAUUUUUAAGGUCAAAUAAGACUCUGGAUACCAAAUAUUCACACUGGGACUACCUGUCCUUUUCUCUCCAUUUGUAGGUAUGUGGGAUUGUGGGUCCAUGGGGCAUUCUGCCCAGGCUUUAGAGCUCUCGGAUGUGCCUCCCUUCCCCAAGCUGUCUUCUCUGCCAAGGGCACAGACUGGCUCCUAUAGAGACUGAAGUACCCUUUCACAGAGUUGCUUCUGUGUCUCUCCCUGAGACUGGGCUGGGAUUGCUAUCUAACUCUUGCACUUCAGAAGUCCAGAGAACCCAAGGCAUUUGUGCUUUGUAGACACAUGCCACAAAAACUGAGCACACUUACCACUUGAAGAAACAUUAGAAUGUGCCAAAUCUCUGAAGUCCAAUUCUUAGUGCAAACUGCCAAAGCC
This 1422-nucleotide long non-coding RNA is filed under the name Aotus nancymaae (Ma's night monkey). RNAcentral's name for it is "lncRNA (ENSANAG00000039526.1)". Lineage: Eukaryota; Metazoa; Chordata; Mammalia; Primates; Aotidae. The record is from RNAcentral.